Molecule: long non-coding RNA, 2592 nt
Organism: Heterocephalus glaber (naked mole-rat)
Lineage: Eukaryota; Metazoa; Chordata; Mammalia; Rodentia; Bathyergidae
Source: Ensembl
UUGGGAGUGUGCACCCGAGGGGGGAGGGGGAGGGGGAAACAAUCACAGUGGCUCUAAACUCAACAGCUCAGUUUGAGGUAGAACUAUCACGCUGCCCUCUCUCUACUCGGGGAAACUUUGGGUAUGGGUAGUCGGAUAGUUUCAUUUAUUUCUGCACAAACCUUUAGCUCCAGGAAGUUGCAGGAGUCAGCCCAUACCUGUCCCGGGCACUGUCCGAGGGCAGCAGCUUCAGACGCCGAACACCUUCCUGAACACACUCUUGGGCUUCAGCCCACCUUUGCAUAUACACCCUAGGCCCUAGCCCACAUUCCUGCGCACACCUGUCCCAGGCAGUUCUGGACCCUCCCUACCUCUUCGAGCACACUUGCCCGGGACAACAGCCCGAGGCAGCGCCAAAGCGCUCCAUUCCGAGGACGUCAAAAGUAUGGUUUUUAGGAGCCGGGAUUUAGCUCAGUGGUUCCGGCGCCUGCCUCACAAGCGCAAGGUCCCUAGUUCGAUCCCCCGUACAAAAAAAACAAAAACAAAAACAAAAAACCAGUUGCGCGCGGGACUACUUUUUGCAGACCCUCGGGCCAGGCGGAGGGAUCCCUUCCGGGCGCUCGCGCGGAGCACCGCAGUACUUGGAGAACCGCAGUACUUGGAGAACCGCAGUACUUGGAGACCAGAGGCAGUGAGCCUGCGCUUUCCCCUGUGCCGCUGCUCGUCAGCCAGCGCCAGGGGAACCCCUACUACCUCGGUCUCGCACCCACAAUGGCGCAGAUUCUCCCCAUCCACUUCCAAGACCAUUUCCAGGACCUUGCCCUCGCGAGGCAGGCGGUGGAACCACUGAGGUAAAUCCUUGGCUCCAAUUUGUUUUAAUAAAUUUGUGCUUGGGGAAAAUAAGGACUGGCCAUGUGUGUGUGAACAGGAUUCAAAUUGGGCACCGAGUGGAGCCCUUCACUCCCAAAGUCCUGGGAAGGGAGAGAGGUCUCACAGAUUACAGGAGAGGGGAUGAGACUAGAGAAGUAAAAACCAGUGGCUCCAUCCUAAGAGCUUUUAUGUUAAAUCGUUACAAUCCAGUAAGUUAGGUCUUUUUCACUGUUUUAUAGAUGAGAAAACCGAGUCAGAGAAGUUAAAUACCUCUUUAAGAAGAGCAGGAUUCAGACUCAAAUCUAGUCGACAACAGAGCUGUACAGCAAUGAAUGUGGUCAAUUGAAAGGCCAUAUUUUCAAGUUCAGAACGCUGUUGGCUCUGUAUCCAAAUGACAAAGGUCUUGGGAGUUUUAUAAUGACCAGUCCAGUCCCCUUAUUCUACAGAUUGAAAACUUGGUAUCUAGAGUGUCCUGCCUAGGUCAUUUGGUUGGUGCUACGGUUGAGGUUGUGUCCUAACAUUUGUCUCCUCUGUGGACUUAAUUCUAACUCUAAGGUGAGCCAGUGCCAGUAAUGUGAGGUAGCAAAUAUUGCUGCUGCUAAUAGUAAUAAAUAAUGUCAUAAUUAUGAUUUACUGAGCUGUUUCUUUUGGUUUCUCUUGCCACAUAUACACUGGACCUUUUUUUCUUUAAUGAAUCUUGUUUAAUCUUCAUGAAAACUCAGACAGUGACACCCGUAUCAUUAACUCAGAUAAAAUCACACUGCUGGUAAAUGACAAAGCUGGAUUCCAACUCAGUUCUGAUUCCAAAACCUGUUUUUGUUGUUGUUGUUGUUUGGAAAUAGGGUCUCCCUGUGUAAUCCAGGCUGGCCUUGAACUCAGGACAGUCCUCUUGCCUCUACCUCCUGAGUGCUGGGAUCACAGGUGUGCGCCACCAUGCCCUGCUCAAAGCCUGUUCUUAAACAAAAAAGCGUAGAUUUUAAGUUUCUAUUAAAGUUUAUAAUGGCUUGAGGAUAUAUUUUCAUUGUCUGGAAAAUAUUGUGGCUUGUAGCAUGCAGGCCAUAUGAAUGAAACUUUGUGGUUUGUGGUCUCCAACUUUUAAGUGGUGUUUGACCAUGCUCUGCAUUCUGCAUUCUGUUUCUGUUGUCAGCACAACACUCUGCCUUCACUGCAGACAUUUUGAACUUCUACCUGUUCCUUUUUUUUUUUUUUUUUUAACCUGUUCCUUAAAUGCCUGUUCCUUCCACUCCCAUUUUGCUGCCAGCAGAUGACUCCGGGAAAAUGGAAACCAUACAUUGCAAUGUGGUCACCUCUAUGUUUGCACAUUGUCUGCAGCCACGCUUCCCUGCCUUCCUGUUGUUAUUUCAGAAGGGGUAUUCUUAGCGUUGCCUGUAUUCCCAUUCUGAACCUUCCCUCUAGUGGGGCCCUUGCCCAGUAGCAGCUCCUCUUUCCUGGAGUUUCAUCAAUUCCCUUUCAGUGGCUUCUUCCUGUUUGUGUUUAACAGUGCUCACAAACCCCUUCUUCCCUUGUUCCCUUGAAGUUCUUCUCUCAAAGCCAGACAUGGUCAAAAAUCGCUUUAUCUCUUCCAUUACUCCUUUGUGUUCUUCAGUAACCUGGAAUUUAGUUUUCAUCUCCUCAUUUCCCUGAAUUAGUUCUUGCCAAGGCCACAUGUGAUCCUGGAGACAUUUUUUAAUAAAGGACCAGAUAAUAUGUUUUGAGAGGCACAUUGUGUCUCCGUGUAGUGGC